This 793-nucleotide ribosomal RNA is filed under the name uncultured Bacillota bacterium. RNAcentral's name for it is "bacterial SSU rRNA". It matches the Rfam family "Bacterial small subunit ribosomal RNA", at positions 75 to 901 of the family's 1533-position model. Lineage: Bacteria; Bacillati; Bacillota. The record is from RNAcentral.
GGGGGCAACCCCCGAGUAAAGUGGCGCACGGGUGAGUAACACGUGGGUAAUCUGCCUCUGGGUGGGGAAUAACUCUGGGAAACCGGAGCUAAUACCGCAUAAGCCCGCAAGGGGAAAGGCGAAAGUCGCCGAGAGAGGAGCCCGCGGCUGAUUAGCUAGCUGGUGAGGUAAGAGCUCACCAGGGCAGAGAUCGGUAGCCGGCCUGAGAGGGCACACGGCCACACUGGCACUGAAACACGGGCCAGACUCCUACGGGAGGCAGCAGUGGGGAAUCUUGCACAAUGGGGGAAACCCUGAUGCAGCGACGCCGCGUGAGCGAUGAAGCCCUUCGGGGUGUAAAGCUCUUUCGGCAGGGACGAUAAUGACGGUACCUGAAGAAGAAGCUGCGGUUAACUACGUGCCAGCAGCCGCGGUAAUACGUAGGCAGCGAGCGUUGUUCGGAGUUACUGGGCGUAAAGCGUGCGUAGGCGGUGGCCCAAGUCUGGUGUGAAAUCUCCCGGCUUAACCGGGAGGGUGCGCCGGAAACUGGGUCGCUGGAGUACCGGAGAGGCAGGCGGAAUUCCUGGUGUAGCGGUGAAAUGCGUAGAUAUCAGGAGGAACACCCGUGGUGUAGACGGCCUGCUGGACGGUCACUGACGCUGAGGCACGAAAGCGUGGGGAGCAAACAGGAUUAGAUACCCUGGUAGUCCACGCCCUAAACGAUGCAUACUUGGUGUGGGCAGUUCAGUCUGUCCGUGCCGAAGCUAACGCGAUAAGUAUGCCGCCUGGGGAGUACGGUCGCAAGGCUGAAACU